This is a long non-coding RNA of Sceloporus undulatus (fence lizard), 2279 nucleotides long. RefSeq lists it as uncharacterized. The record is from RefSeq and is a predicted model, not a curated record. The transcript is spliced from 4 exons. NCBI's taxonomy places the organism in Eukaryota, Metazoa, Chordata, Lepidosauria, Squamata, Phrynosomatidae.
AAGUUGCUGCAAUACUAGAAAUUUGGGUAAUGAAUGAAAAUUUCAUGCCGGGGGGGGGGGGAUUCUUAUUACAGCUUACAGCUUUAUUGGAGGAGGCUAAGGCUGCUUGUUACUACCUAUUACUUACCUUGGGUACACAACAACAGCUGUAAUAGGUGGCUUGGAGCGUGGCUACAUCUCCCUGGACUUCUGUUGUUGCUGCCUUAGCCAGCAAGUACUUUGCCAUUGUGGCUGAAGAUUUGGUAUUCUCCCUGCAUGUUCGUUUUUCAAAGUUGCUGAACUUUGUUGAUGAAAGUAUCUCUCCAUCCUUUUCUGGGUUUUUGAACUCCCCCUUUGGAACAUUAAAUUUGACCACAUAGUAGCUUGGAUCUCCUCGAAUAUGAAAAAGAUUCACACUGAAAUCCUCUGGAGCUCAUUCACUAUGACAUUGUUGGAGAACUACUAAACACCAAUAUCUUCUGAUGGGACUGAAGGAUGUAUUAUUACUGCUGAAGGGGAAAAUGUAUUGCAAAUUGUUUUCAAGUGUUAAAAUUAAGUAACCUGCAAUGCAAAUAGACAAUCACUCCUCACAUUUGUGUUUACUUGUAUGAUGAUUUUCUUUUAUCUAAUGCAGUGCAGAAAUUAUUAAACAUCUGAAAAGUCAAAUUACAAUAUCAUAGUUCAUUUGUAAGGAAGAGAACUGCAUUUGAACUGUUAAGGUGAAGAACACAAAGUAAUAAUAAAAUAUUUCUUUUUAAAAUUUGUAUUAUUUUGUAUAUAUAAUUUUUAUUUUGAUAUAGUGGAAGUAUAUAAAAUUCUCUAAUGGAAUUUUCAUCUUUGUGAAGUUCACUUAUAUUUUUCCAGAAGGACUAAAACUGGGAUAGCAUCUCUAAAUGGGGACAUAAACAUUUCAGAAUCAAACGUUUACAUAGUUUUGUGAAAUUUUAGUUGGCCAUAAUAAAGACAUUACUGAUUUCAGACUUUGUUUUCUUCUUUUGGACCAAUGCAGCUUCCUUUAUUUUUAUUUCAAAUUUCAGUUUGCUUCAUUAUAUAUAUAUGAAACAGAUGUGUCAUAGGUUGUGUAAGUUUAGUCCCUAGUACAACUGAUCAGUCUCCAAGUUAUCUUUUUCACUUGGUGCCCUAUCAUAGUACACAAUUAUAGCACUAUGAUCCAACUGCCAUGGCAACAUCUUAUGGAAUCCUGGGAUUUACAGUUCGGGGAGAGGUUCUCAACCAGUACCUCAUUAAACUACAAACUCCAGGAUUCCAGAGGAUGUAAUUGUGGCAAGUAAAGUGGAAUUUUAAUGCUAUGACUGUAUAAUGUGAAAGAGCCCUUAAUGAGUGAACUGAAGGCCUUGAUACUCACUGCACAUUUGCUUGAGAGCUAACCAAAACAGAAAGUGAAAGGAAGCUGUUAAGAGUUGGAUUGAGACUUAAUAUCUACCUAUCUUGAAGAAUGGUCCAUGGAAAGCAGGAGCAACUCAGACCAAAAGUCCGGGGCAAUGGAAGCAGCUCAGACCAGAAUCUGAGGGCAGCAGCCACCGACAAAGCAAGGGAGGGGGAAUUCGACUGAUCAUAUUUAUACUUUAAAACUAGCCACAAGCCACGGUGAUUUCAUGGGAAACAAAGACUUGAUCACCCUUUUGAAAGACCAAAAGGGUUCCCAAUGUGGUGGCUAGCUUUGAUAACCAAAAGAUAAAAAAGGCUAAUUUGUCAAUAUCUGGAGAAUCCCAAAAUGAGGGGACAGGAAGGACAUUUAGUAGUAUAACUGGAUGAAAGGGACUUCAGUCUCAUUUGAUUUAGUUGCCAGAACUCAUAUUUCGAUGUUUGGUUUUUUAAAGAAGUUAAAUGUAUGUGUGUGUGUCCUCUAUCAAGCCCCUUCUCCCGUUGUUUUCAGCUUUCCACAUUUCUGGGGUCUGUGUGCUAUAUUCACAAUACUAAUUUUUCCAAUGUUUUAUAACUCUACAGCUCAUGCUGGCCUCACCAGUUUGGUAUCAAAACAUAGCUGACCAACAGUCAAAACCUUAUGCAUUUUGCCAGUUGAUCACUGUGGGUUAAGCAGGUAUAGAAAAUGAAAUAAAUGGGUUGGAUCCAGACUAAAUUGAUCAUACCUUUGCCUAUUGAAAUCAAGGGGACAAAUUAGUCAUGAUUAGCAUGAGUUCCAUUAGUUUUAGUUGGAUUAGAAUAUGAAUAACUUUAGUUGAGAUCUGUCUCAUCAUUGGGCAAUACAGAAAGCAUAAAAAGAUUACAGCUGGAUUCUAUUCCAAUCUAUUCCCACCUGUAACAUUGGCCCAAUACAG